Molecule: ribosomal RNA, 234 nt
Filed under: Myricaria wardii
Lineage: Eukaryota; Viridiplantae; Streptophyta; Magnoliopsida; Caryophyllales; Tamaricaceae
Description: 4.5S ribosomal RNA
Source: RNAcentral
GAAGGUCACGGCGAGACGAGCCGUUUAUCAUUAUGAUAGGUGUCAAGUGGAAGUGCAGUAAUGUAUGCAGCUGAGGCAUCCUAACAGACCUAUAGACUUGAACCUUGUUCCUACAUGACCCGAUCAAUUUGAUCAGGCACUCGCCAUCUAUUUUCAUUGUUCAACUCUUUGACAACAUGAAAAAACCAAAAGCCCUGCCCUCCCUCUCUAUCUAUCCAAGGGAUGGAAGGGCAG